UAGGGAAUCUUCGGCAAUGGACGAAAGUCUGACCGAGCAACGCCGCGUGAGUGAAGAAGGUUUUCGGAUCGUAAAACUCUGUUGUUAGAGAAGAACAAGGACGUUAGUAACUGAACGUCCCCUGACGGUAUCUAACCAGAAAGCCACGGCUAACUACGUGCCAGCAGCCGCGGUAAUACGUAGGUGGCAAGCGUUGUCCGGAUUUAUUGGGCGUAAAGCGAGCGCAGGCGGUUUCUUAAGUCUGAUGUGAAAGCCCCCGGCUCAACCGGGGAGGGUCAGUGGAAACUGGGAGACUGGAGUGCAGAAGAGGAGAGUGGAAUUCCAUGUGUAGCGGUGAAAUGCGUAGAUAUAUGGAGGAACACCAGUGGCGAAGGCGGCUCUCUGGUCUGUAACUGACGCUGAGGCUCGAAAGCGUGGGGAGCAAACAGG
RNAcentral lists this ribosomal RNA (429 nucleotides) under Gemmatimonadota bacterium. Its description in RNAcentral is "Gemmatimonadetes bacterium partial 16S ribosomal RNA". It matches the Rfam family "Bacterial small subunit ribosomal RNA", at positions 355 to 776 of the family's 1533-position model. Lineage: Bacteria; Pseudomonadati; Gemmatimonadota. The record is from RNAcentral.